ACUGCCCUCUGUGCCAGCAGCUCCAAUCUAGGACACAAUUAUCUUUAAUCUUUGUUGGCCUAAAAAUCCUCUAGCAUUGACUAACCGGUUCAAUCCUCCUCCAGCAAGUAUGUGGACUGGACUUGUGUGAUUUCUGGUCCUGACUUCCUUUGGUUUGCUCAGGUUCACAGAGUGUUUCCAAAUGGGCUGGCCUCCCAGGAAGGGACUAUUCAGAAGGGCAAUGAGGUUCUUUCCAUCAACGGCAAGUCUCUCAAGGGGACCACGCACAAUGAUGCCUUGGCCAUCCUCCGCCAAGCUCGAGAGCCCAGGCAAGCUGUGAUUGUCACAAGGAAGCUGACUCCAGAGGCCAUGCCCGACCUCAACUCCUCCACUGACUCUGCAGCCUCAGCCUCUGCGGCCAGUGAUGUUUCUGUAGAAUCUACAGAGGCCACAGUCUGCACGGUGACACUGGAGAAGAUGUCUGCAGGGCUGGGCUUCAGCCUGGAAGGAGGGAAGGGCUCCCUACACGGAGACAAGCCUCUCACC
RNAcentral lists this small RNA (525 nucleotides) under Pan troglodytes (chimpanzee). RNAcentral describes it as "retained intron". The record is from RNAcentral. Lineage: Eukaryota; Metazoa; Chordata; Mammalia; Primates; Hominidae.